ACGGGUAGCCGGCCUGAGAGGGCGACCGGCCACAUUGGGACUGAGAUACGGCCCAGACUCCUACGGGAGGCAGCAGUGGGGAAUAUUGCACAAUGGGCGCAAGCCUGAUGCAGCGACGCCGCGUGCGGGAUGACGGCCUUCGGGUUGUAAACCGCUUUUGAUCGGGAGCAAGCCUUCGGGUGAGUGUACCUUUCGAAUAAGCACCGGCUAACUACGUGCCAGCAGCCGCGGUAAUACGUAGGGUGCAAGCGUUAUCCGGAAUUAUUGGGCGUAAAGGGCUCGUAGGCGGUUCGUCGCGUCCGGUGUGAAAGUCCAUCGCUUAACGGUGGAUCUGCGCCGGGUACGGGCGGGCUGGAGUGCGGUAGGGGAGACUGGAAUUCCCGGUGUAACGGUGGAAUGUGUAGAUAUCGGGAAGAACACCAAUGGCGAAGGCAGGUCUCUGGGCCGUUACUGACGCUGAGGAGCGAAAGCGUGGGGAGCGAACAGGAUUAGAUACCCUGGUAGUCCACGCCGUAAACGGUGGAUGCUGGAUGUGGGGCCCGUUCCACGGGUUCCGUGUCGGAGCUAACGCGUUAAGCAUCCCGCCUGGGGAGUACGGCCGCAAGGCUAAAACUCAAAGAAAUUGACGGGGGCCCGCACAAGCGGCGGAGCAUGCGGAUUAAUUCGAUGCAACGCGAAGAACCUUACCUGGGCUUGACAUGUUCCCGACCGCUCCAGAGAUGGGGCUUCCCUUCGGGGCGGGUUCACAGGUGGUGCAUGGUCGUCGUCAGCUCGUGUCGUGAGAUGUUGGGUUAAGUCCCGCAACGAGCGCAACCCUCGCCCUGUGUUGCCAGCGCGUCAUGGCGGGGAACUCACGGGGGGACCGGCCGGGGUCAACUCCGAAGGAAAGGUGGGGAAUGACGUCCAAAUC
Molecule: ribosomal RNA, 910 nt
Filed under: Bifidobacterium catenulatum subsp. kashiwanohense
Lineage: Bacteria; Bacillati; Actinomycetota; Actinomycetes; Bifidobacteriales; Bifidobacteriaceae
Description: bacterial SSU rRNA
Rfam family: Bacterial small subunit ribosomal RNA
Source: RNAcentral